AUGAAACGAUGUCUUUGCGGUGCCUCGGGCUCAAAAGGGAAGUCGGUGCGAUGCCGACGCGUUUGGCCGGCGCUGUGAGCGGGGAUGAAACCCGGCGGCGACCACUGUGCUCUCUCAUCUCGUGCGCAGGGGGAGAACGGGAAGGGGCCGGGAAGUAAGUCGAUCCGCGAGCCAGAAGACCUGCCGUGAAGACUUGGUGCGG
This 202-nucleotide non-coding RNA is filed under the name Syntrophobacter fumaroxidans. RNAcentral also lists the same sequence under 1 other name. Lineage: Bacteria; Pseudomonadati; Thermodesulfobacteriota; Syntrophobacteria; Syntrophobacterales; Syntrophobacteraceae. The record is from RNAcentral.